RNAcentral lists this ribosomal RNA (292 nucleotides) under uncultured bacterium. RNAcentral's name for it is "partial 16S ribosomal RNA". It matches the Rfam family "Bacterial small subunit ribosomal RNA", at positions 505 to 796 of the family's 1533-position model. The record is from RNAcentral.
GUGCCAGCCGCCGCGGUAAUACGUAGGGUGCGAGCGUUAAUCGGAAUUACUGGGCGUAAAGCGUGCGCAGGCGGUUUUGUAAGACAGGCGUGAAAUCCCCGGGCUCAACCUGGGAAUUGCGCUUGUGACUGCAAGGCUAGAGUGUGUCAGAGGGGGGUAGAAUUCCACGUGUAGCAGUGAAAUGCGUAGAGAUGUGGAGGAAUACCGAUGGCGAAGGCAGCCCCCUGGGACAUGACUGACGCUCAUGCACGAAAGCGUGGGGAGCAAACAGGAUUAGAUACCCUGGUAGUCC